UUUUAGAUGUUUGUUUGUUUUUUUUUUUUUUUUUAAGCAAAAUUGGGACACUUAUCAGAAGUGAGAGAAUGGAUGAUAGAUGCAAAAUGAUACCUGUCCACAACAAACUCUUAAUGCUGUGUUUGAGCAUCCUUGAAUUUCCCAGAGAGACAUUUUUGGAAAAUUCCUAAAAUUUCAACAAGUAUCUAAUGUUUGGCCAUGCUCACAGUCUCACAUCUGGUUGGGGUGGGCUCCUCACAGAACACACUUUCACAGUUACCCUAAACUCUCUGGGGCGGGGUUAUUCCUUUGUGGAACCAGAGGCACGGAGAGAGUCAACUGAGGCCAAAACAGGCCUGGGACAAACUGAGGUCAAGAUUUCAUUAGGAUUAAUGGUCCUGUGAUGCUUUCAAGUCUAAUUGCGGAUUUGUCCAAUUCACUUCAGUUCUGUCAGCUUUUGCUUCAUACAUUUUAGAGCUCUGUUGUUAGAUACAUACACAUUUAGUAUUAUGUCUUCUUGAUGCAUUUACUCUCUUAUCAUUAUGUAAUGUACUUUUUUAUCUCUGAUAAUUUUCUGUUUUCUGAAGUCUACUUUGUCUAAAAAUAAGAUAGGCACUCAAGUUUCUUUUGAUUAUUGUUUUCGGGCUUUACCUUUUUCUAUCAUGUUACUUUAAAUAUAUCUAUAUUAUUGCAUUUAAAAUGUGUUUCUUACAGACUACAUGUAGUUGGGUCUUAUUUUUAUCCAGUCUGAAAAUAUCUGUCUUCAAUUGGUGUUUAGACAAUUUAUAUUUAAUAAAAUUGUUGAAUUUGA
Long non-coding RNA from Sapajus apella (tufted capuchin), 790 nucleotides. RefSeq lists it as uncharacterized. The transcript has 3 exons. NCBI's taxonomy places the organism in Eukaryota, Metazoa, Chordata, Mammalia, Primates, Cebidae. The record is from RefSeq and is a predicted model, not a curated record.